AUCCUUGAAGGGAUCCUUGUGGGUCCCUUCCAGCUUAGGAUAUUCUAUGAUUCUGUGAACUGUUUUGCCAGUGGUGGUUGUUCCUCAUGUCCCUGUAACAUGUGCCCAGUGCCUGCCCAUGACCCACUGGGUUCCUUAGUCCUUAGAAUCUCCAAAGCUGGUGUGAUUGCAAGCAUUGCACCUGGAAGAGGGGUAGUGGCUUGGAAGUAGGUGGGUAACAAUGCCAGCUGGAGUAUUUUCUUCCAGAUAGCAGUGAAUUCUCUGCAGGAUGUCCACGCAGCACAACAGCCAGCGGGCAAUUUAGCAACUCUCUGGUGGGGGGGGUCCCCUUUGCCACCCUCCCAAAGGUGUCGCCAGGGCCCACUGGCAUCCCAAAGGCCAGGCUCUGUUUCCCCAAACAUGACAGUCAGAGCAUGCCCAUGCACAGAGACAUCUGCAAAACUCAGCAAAAUUCCUGCUGGGAGCAGCCUACUUUCAGAAUCCUCUUGCACUGUUCGUAUCAAUGAAGUUUAUUGUUCCUCUGCAAGUCCUUUGGGUACCGAGGGCGUCCACAGAAGGAGCAACAUGGAAGGCAGGGGUGUGAGCCAGGCUGCUGUUUGCAGGCUUCCAGAACGUGUGCUCUGGGAGCCAUGGGAGAAUUGAGGUGGGAGAGAGCAGGCAUCCAUGGCUGUGAGGGGCUCUCCUGGUGCCACAUUCCAGGAGGAGGGCCUCACAUCCCAGCAGGGUGCCCAUGUCCUGGUGGGGGUCCCAGGGGGUGCCCAGGGGAGGAAGAUUUCAAUAUUCCCCUCCAAGGCACAGCAGUGGGAGCAGCAGGCUUCAAAAAGUGCCUACCCAGGUCCUCUCCAGCUCCGCCUCAGCCUUCAUCACCUGCUGGCCGGGUGGAAAGAGCCUUUGUGACAUCCCAGAGCCUUGUGCCACAGCAGCCUGUGACAACACAUUGGCUACACCUGCAAACACGUUCCAGCAGGGCGACCCCUCAAUCCAGGUGGCCGCUGCCCGAGCUCUGCUCUGGGUCACAGCAUGUUGAGGUGGUUUCCUCAAUGAGACCUCAAUGAGGCUCCUCCUGGUGCUGUCCCUGGCCUUGGUGCUCUGGAGCCUGUCUCUGUCACCCACUGCCGCCAAGAGGGUCAGGGUCAAGACAGCCAUCAUUCCUAAGGGCCCAAAAAAACCAUCCCUUGUCACAGGGAGCGCAGCCUCUGACCUGCCCUACCCUCUGGGCCAGCUUUGGGUCUACCUUGCCUGGGGGGACAUGCCCCGUCUGCUCUGCAGGAACUGGGAAAUCAUGGGGGUGAUUGGUGUGGCUUUUAUUAUACUUCGCAUCUGCAGAAAUGUGCGGGAACCCCAGAGUCAGGCGAGCACUCAAGAGCAGUCAUACAGGAAGAGACAGGUGCAGGGAAGGGAACAGGCAGCUUCACAGUCCGUGAGGACAGGCCGCCGGGCAGAACGCACCUUUAGCCAUGCCCAAUUUUACAAGAUGAUGAGGGCUGAAACCAUGCUGCUGCUCAGGACCACCAGGUCUGUGCAUCGCCUUUACCUGCAACAGCUACGGCACGAGUACUACCAAAGGAAGGUAGCAGAAAGAUUUCGGAAGAGCAGGACCUUCCCCAGAUCCCCUGGUCCCAGCUCCAGCUAGAGCCAGCGCUUGGCCAUUGGCAAUGGAACGGCAGCGGAACAGGAGAGACAUUCCAUCCCUUCAUGACCCUUCGAUGGACUCUCACCAGUAGCUCCUGUACUGGAGAGCCCAGAACUGGACACAGCAUGCAGGUGUGGCCUCACCCAAGCAGAAGGGAAGGAUCACCUCUCUCAACAUGCCAGCAACACUUCCCUAAAGAAGCCCAGGAUACCCUUAGCUCUCUGCUGCAAGGGCACAUUGCAGGCUAACCCGGACCCUCACAGCCUUCUCUGAAGAGGUGUUCCAGAUGGGCGGCCCCAGCACGUACUGGUGCAUGUGAUUGUUCUUUCCCAAGUGCAGGACUUUGCAAUUCCCUUUGUUGAACAUCAAAAAGUUUCUGUCAACAGAUUUCUCCAUCAUGCAGAUCUUCAGUGAAGAUGUUUAAUUGCCUGGACCUACUGUGGACCCCUGCCUACACCACUGAUCACCACGCUGUUGGGAUCAGCCUUUCAGCCCAUUUUCCAUCUAUCUCUAGGCUCAUCCAGCCCAUACAUCAACAGCUUCACUAUGAGGAUGUUACAGGGGACCAUAUCAAAAGCCUGACACAAGUCAGGGUAGACAACAUGCCCUGCUUUUCCCUCAUCUACCAAGCCAGUCAUUUCUUCUGAGGGAGUUAUCACAUCAUUUAGGCAGGACUUCCCCUCUGUGAACCCAUGCUGACAUCAAGUGGUUCACCACAAAAUUAUUUACUCCUUUGCUAAAAACAGCCUCACCCUUGCCUGACACCCCACUAGUGCUAAUGCCACCCUGCCUGUGAGGUCUUUUGAUGAAAUCCACUUGACUGUCAUCUCUUCAAGAUACUUACUGGGAAGGGCUGAACUUGUCCCCCUCCCUGCUAUCCUGAGAGCACAGAGGGGUUCCACAAAACCCCCAGGCACAUGUGCACCAGGACUUGCUGAGAAAUGGCUGGCCAGCCAAAAGCCAGAGCCACUGCCUCCAGCACCUCCUUCUUCACCAAAGCAGCAGUCUGUGCCAGCAGCUUUGCUCCAGGUUUGGCUUUGACUUGCACAACUAAGACAACGUUGGCCAAGUCUGCUUGCAUUCUGGGACCGCAGUCAGCAACAUGCAGUACCAAACAGGAGACAAUAAACACCAGCAUCCAUUUA
Long non-coding RNA from Pipra filicauda (Wire-tailed manakin), 2778 nucleotides. RefSeq lists it as uncharacterized. Lineage: Eukaryota; Metazoa; Chordata; Aves; Passeriformes; Pipridae. The record is from RefSeq and is a predicted model, not a curated record. The transcript has 3 exons.